ACCUUCAUGUCUCAGACUAAGCCAUGCACGUCUAAGUACAAACUAAAUGAUGGUGAAACUGCAAAUGGCUCAUUACAACGGUUAUGAUGUACCCGGGAGUUCCGAUGGAUAUUUCCAGUAACACUAGAACUAAUACAUGUCCCUGCGUUUAUUAGUUUCGCACAGUCCGUCGCUGAGUCAUGGUAAACAGUUGAUCGACUCGACGUCCCGGAACAGUUUCCGCCCCAUCAGCUUCGAUGGUUGGGUAUUGGCCUACCAUUGCAACAACGGGUAACGAGGAAUUAGGGUUUGAUUUCGGAGAGGGAGCCUGAGAAACGGCUACCACAUCUACGGAUGGCAGCAGGCGCGCAAAUUACCCAAUGCAGACACUGUGAGGUAGUGACGAGAAAUAAUAAAGCGGGACUUCUGUUUCGCUAUUAUAAUGAGGAAUAACCAAAGGUCAUUCCGAUUAGCAACUGAUGGGAAAGUCUGGUGCCAGCAGCCGCGGUAAUACCAGCGUC
RNAcentral lists this ribosomal RNA (500 nucleotides) under uncultured Myrionecta. Its description in RNAcentral is "SSU rRNA". It matches the Rfam family "Eukaryotic small subunit ribosomal RNA", at positions 32 to 592 of the family's 1831-position model. The record is from RNAcentral. Lineage: Eukaryota; Ciliophora; Litostomatea; Cyclotrichida; Mesodiniidae.